AGCCAAUUGUUUUUUGCUUUCUCUACCUGAUUUGGGUUUUUCUUCCAAUGGCACACAACUCUCGAAACAGCUCCCCCUGGCCACUGGCCUGGCCAGCCGGGCC
This is a non-coding RNA of Ceratotherium simum simum (southern white rhinoceros), 103 nucleotides long. The record is from RefSeq and is a predicted model, not a curated record. Lineage: Eukaryota; Metazoa; Chordata; Mammalia; Perissodactyla; Rhinocerotidae.